CGAUGUCGGCUCAUCUCAGCGCGGGGCUGAAGAAGGUCCCAAGCGUAUGGCUGUUCGCCAUUUAAAGAGGUACGUGAGCUGGGUUCAAACCGUCGUGAGAC
This 101-nucleotide ribosomal RNA is filed under the name Streptococcus pneumoniae. RNAcentral's name for it is "partial 23S ribosomal RNA". It matches the Rfam family "Bacterial large subunit ribosomal RNA", at positions 2527 to 2627 of the family's 2925-position model. The record is from RNAcentral. Lineage: Bacteria; Bacillati; Bacillota; Bacilli; Lactobacillales; Streptococcaceae.